RNAcentral lists this ribosomal RNA (253 nucleotides) under uncultured bacterium. RNAcentral describes it as "partial 16S ribosomal RNA". It matches the Rfam family "Bacterial small subunit ribosomal RNA", at positions 524 to 776 of the family's 1533-position model. The record is from RNAcentral.
UACAGAGGUCCCAAGAGUUGUUCGGAUUCACUGGGCGUAAAGGGUGCGUAGGCGGUCGGGUAAGUCUGAUGUGAAAUCUCACAGCUUAACUGUGAAACUGCAUUGGAUACUAUCCGGCUCGAGGAAUGGAGGGGAGACUGGAAUACUUGGUGUAGCAGUGAAAUGCGUAGAUAUCAAGUGGAACACCAGUGGCGAAGGCGAGUCUCUGGACAUUUCCUGACGCUGAGGCACGAAAGCCAGGGGAGCAAACGGG